Molecule: ribosomal RNA, 429 nt
Filed under: Fusobacteriota bacterium
Lineage: Bacteria; Fusobacteriati; Fusobacteriota
Description: Fusobacteria bacterium partial 16S ribosomal RNA
Rfam family: Bacterial small subunit ribosomal RNA
Source: RNAcentral
UGGGGAAUAUUGCGCAAUGGGCGAAAGCCUGACGCAGCGACGCCGCGUGAGGGAUGAAGGUUUUCGGAUCGUAAACCUCUGUCAGAAGGGAAGAAACCGCACUGUGCUAAUCAGCAGUGCCUUGACGGUACCUUCAAAGGAAGCACCGGCUAACUCCGUGCCAGCAGCCGCGGUAAUACGGAGGGUGCAAGCGUUAAUCGGAAUUACUGGGCGUAAAGCGCACGUAGGCUGCUUUGUAAGUCAGGGGUGAAAUCCCACGGCUCAACCGUGGAACUGCCUUGGAUACUGCUUAGCUUGAAUCCGGGAGAGGGUGGCGGAAGUCCAGGUGUAGGAGUGAAAUCCGUAGAUAUCUGGAGGAACAUCAGUGGCGAAGGCGGCCACCUGGACCGGUAUUGACGCUGAGGUGCUAAAGCGUGGGGAGCAAACAGG